GUCGCCAUAGCUCAGUUGGUUAGAGCGUGGGUUUGAUUAACACCGCGGGGGCGGAGCAACUAACCCACCCAAGGUCGCAGGUUCGAUCCCUGCUGGCGGCA
RNAcentral lists this transfer RNA (101 nucleotides) under Caenorhabditis brenneri. It matches the Rfam family "tRNA". From Rfam's summary of the family: Transfer RNA (tRNA) molecules are approximately 80 nucleotides in length. The record is from Rfam by way of RNAcentral. Lineage: Eukaryota; Metazoa; Nematoda; Chromadorea; Rhabditida; Rhabditidae.